This 431-nucleotide ribosomal RNA is filed under the name Acinetobacter courvalinii. Its description in RNAcentral is "partial 23S ribosomal RNA". It matches the Rfam family "Bacterial large subunit ribosomal RNA", at positions 1673 to 2096 of the family's 2925-position model. The record is from RNAcentral. Lineage: Bacteria; Pseudomonadati; Pseudomonadota; Gammaproteobacteria; Moraxellales; Moraxellaceae.
UGAGAAAUCUAAAGCGGACAGGCUAACUCUCGUUAAGGAACUCUGCAAAAUGGCCCCGUAACUUCGGGAGAAGGGGUGCCUUUAGGCGUGAGUAUACAAGCGAUACAAAGCGCUUUGAGGUCGCAGUGAAGAGGCUCAAGCAACUGUUUAACAAAAACACAGGUCUAUGCGAAGCUGUAAGGCGAAGUAUAUGGGCUGACACCUGCCCAGUGCCGGAAGGUUAAGAGGAGGAGUGAGAGCUCCGAAUUGAAGCCCCGGUGAACGGCGGCCGUAACUAUAACGGUCCUAAGGUAGCGAAAUUCCUUGUCGGGUAAGUUCCGACCUGCACGAAUGGUGUAAUGAUUUGAGCGCUGUCUUGACGGGAGGCCUGGUGAAAUUGUAUUACCGGUGAAGAUACCGGUUACCUACAGUAGGACGGAAAGACCCCAUGG